This 532-nucleotide ribosomal RNA is filed under the name Phanerodontia chrysosporium. RNAcentral's name for it is "SSU rRNA". It matches the Rfam family "Bacterial small subunit ribosomal RNA", at positions 400 to 940 of the family's 1533-position model. The record is from RNAcentral. Lineage: Eukaryota; Fungi; Basidiomycota; Agaricomycetes; Polyporales; Phanerochaetaceae.
CGNAAGAGUGACUAGCUAACUGAAAUCUUUCUUAUAAUAGAAAGAUAAGGUAAAGGAAAAUAAUGAUAAUACUUUACUAUAAGUGUCGCCCAAUACUGGUGCCAGAAGACUCGGUAACGCCAGAGACGCAAACGUUAGUCAUCUUAAACAGGCGUAAAGGGUUUGUAGGCAGCUUCCAAUAUUUUUAAUUUAAAAUAGCUCGUUAAAUUUAAUGAAUUAAAAAUAAAGUGAAGCUAGAAUCAAAAAGAGGUUAAUUAUAUAAUACUUAGAGUAGUGUUACAAUACGUAAAAACUAAGUAGAAUACUAAAGGCGAAGGCAGUUAACCACUAAUGAUUGACGCUGAGAAACGAAGGUAAGGAUAGGAAAUAGGAUUAGAGACCCAUGAACCCCUCACUGUAAACGAUGAAUGGUAGUAAUCAGUUUAAUUGCUGGUUUCGAGGUUAACGCGCUGACCAUUCCGCCUUGUGAGUACGAUUGCCAAAUUGAAAACCAAAAAAUUAGUCGGUCUCGGAGCACNNCGAAGUGAAGCAU